Molecule: ribosomal RNA, 646 nt
Filed under: uncultured Bacillus sp.
Lineage: Bacteria; Bacillati; Bacillota; Bacilli; Caryophanales; Bacillaceae
Description: bacterial SSU rRNA
Rfam family: Bacterial small subunit ribosomal RNA
Source: RNAcentral
GCCUAACACAUGCAAGUCGAGCGAAUCGAUGGGAGCUUGCUCCCUGAGAUUAGCGGCGGACGGGUGAGUAACACGUGGGCAACCUGCCUAUAAGACUGGGAUAACUUCGGGAAACCGGAGCUAAUACCGGAUACGCUUCUUUUCUCGCAUGAGAGAAGAUGGAAAGACGGUUUACGCUGUCACUUAUAGAUGGGCCCGCGGCGCAUUAGCUAGUUGGUGAGGUAAUGGCUCACCAAGGCGACGAUGCGUAGCCGACCUGAGAGGGUGAUCGGCCACACUGGGACUGAGACACGGCCCAGACUCCUACGGGAGGCAGCAGUAGGGAAUCUUCCGCAAUGGACGAAAGUCUGACGGAGCAACGCCGCGUGAACGAAGAAGGCCUUCGGGUCGUAAAGUUCUGUUGUUAGGGAAGAACAAGUGCCAGAGUAACUGCUGGUACCUUGACGGUACCUAACCAGAAAGCCACGGCUAACUACGUGCCAGCAGCCGCGGUAAUACGUAGGUGGCAAGCGUUGUCCGGAAUUAUUGGGCGUAAAGCGCGCGCAGGUGGUUCCUUAAGUCUGAUGUGAAAGCCCACGGCUCAACCGUGGAGGGUCAUUGGAAACUGGGGAACUUGAGUGCAGAAGAGGAAAGUGGAAUUCCAAGU